ACGUAGGGUGCAAACGUUGUCCGGAAUUACUGGGUGUAAAGGGUGCACAGGCGGUUUUGUGCGUCAGAGGUAAAAUCCCACAGCUCAACUGUGGACCUGCCUUUGAUACGGCGAGACUUGAGUACAAGAGAGGAUGAUAGAAUUCCUGGUGUAGCGGUGAAAUGCGUAGAUAUCAGGAGGAAUACCAGUGGCGAAGGCGGUCAUCUGGCUUGUAACUGACGCUUAAGCACGAAAGCAUGGGUAGCGAACAG
Molecule: ribosomal RNA, 251 nt
Filed under: uncultured prokaryote
Description: partial 16S rRNA
Rfam family: Bacterial small subunit ribosomal RNA
Source: RNAcentral